Long non-coding RNA from Melospiza melodia melodia, 801 nucleotides. RefSeq lists it as uncharacterized. NCBI's taxonomy places the organism in Eukaryota, Metazoa, Chordata, Aves, Passeriformes, Passerellidae. The transcript is spliced from 2 exons. The record is from RefSeq and is a predicted model, not a curated record.
AGGGACGGAGGUCGGAUCUCCCUUCCCCGGGCUGGGCCGGGGAGGGGCAGCCAUGCAGUAGGCCUGGGCCUGGACAGAGAUGGGAGCUUGCAAAGAGGCUGAUCCUCCUUGGAGCUGAAUAAGACGGGAGAUAAGAGAUGAGAUGAGACAAGGACCUGGCCCAAAGGACGUGGAGAAGGCUUGCUGAGUGGGGAGAGAUGAUUGGAGUGGCCUUUUGGCUGGACUUUUCUUGUGUAGCCAUAGACUGAACCAGUUUUAUUCCUGUGACACAGAGACUGCAUUUAGGGGGAGGCAGUGCCUCAGAACCAGGAGGGUUCAUUGUGGGGACCCCUCGGCCCCAGGGGGUUGGAUAAAAAUGGGGGGGGGACAGAUGUCCCAAAGCAGAGACUGUGCCUUUUUGGAAUGAGACAAGGCAUCCUUAAAAGACAACCCUAAAAGCAGCUCUGGUCCAUGCCAGUGGUGAGAGCACUGGGCAUGGAAGGAAGAUGUCACAAGCGGCAAAAGGACUUUCCGGGCGGUGCUGAGUGACAGGGAAGCACAUGAGGUUUCAGUGUGUUUCCAGGGGAAGCCUAUGGUGCAAGAAAGACUCCUCUCCUCUUCAUGGACUGAAGUUUGAAUAUCCAAAAGGGUGGUGCCAGACUGGGCAGUUGGUGAAUUUGGGGGGAAUGUAUCGGAUUGGGAAAUUUUGGUGGUGGGGAGGAGGAAAGUGUUUUUUGUAAGGUUUUCAAUUUUUUUCUCUUAUAGUUUUUUUCCUUCUUUCUUUUCUUGUACUUUAGGUAAUAAAGUUUUCUUUAUGUUUAA